GACCGAUGCGUCCCGCGCUCUGGGCGAAGACCGCGGCCCCGCCCCCGCGCCUCCACAGCCUUCUCCCAGGAGGAGGGGCCGUGCGGCGCCUGCCCGGGGGCUCUCAGGCCGCAGGCGGGCGCGAACUUCGGGGAACUUAGGGGGCUCCUGCCCUCCGGCCGUGCGAGCGGGAACAGUCUCCUCCACUCGGAGCGGCGCCAUCUUCAGCUCUGAGUCACCAGGGCUGGAAAAAUACUAGAUGCGCUACUCGCGGACUCGUGAAUACAGGCCAUUUCCUGUACCUACAGCCACGCGCUCAUCCACCACAGUGUCUAUGAAAUAGUUGGCAUUUCAUGAACAUUUGUUGAAUGGAUAAUGGAUAACAUAUUGAGCUCCUUCUAGGAGCCACUCAUCAUGCCUUACCUGGAUGAUGCAGAAGUCCCUGGAAACAGAAGGUCUCACCCUUCUUUAUCUUUCUCAUGGCUUUCCAAGGCUCUUUAUCAUGUUACUUUCCUGCUCAGAAUUCUUUAAUGACUUGCCUCAAUGACCAGAUAUAUGUGAUCUACAGUCAGCCUUCCAGCCUCAUCAUUCCUCUUCCAUUU
RNAcentral lists this long non-coding RNA (581 nucleotides) under Pongo abelii (Sumatran orangutan). Its description in RNAcentral is "lincRNA". The record is from RNAcentral. Lineage: Eukaryota; Metazoa; Chordata; Mammalia; Primates; Hominidae.